Molecule: ribosomal RNA, 513 nt
Filed under: uncultured bacterium
Lineage: Bacteria
Description: partial 16S ribosomal RNA
Rfam family: Bacterial small subunit ribosomal RNA
Source: RNAcentral
GAUGAACGCUGGCGGCGUGCCUAAUACAUGCAAGUCGAGCGAACAGACGAGGAGCUUGCUCCUCUGACGUUAGCGGCGGACGGGUGAGUAACACGUGGAUAACCUACCUAUAAGACUGGGAUAACUUCGGGAAACCGGAGCUAAUACCGGAUAAUAUAUUGAACCGCAUGGUUCAAUAGUGAAAGACGGUUUUGCUGUCACUUAUAGAUGGAUCCGCGCCGCAUUAGCUAGUUGGUAAGGUAACGGCUUACCAAGGCAACGAUGCGUAGCCGACCUGAGAGGGUGGUCGGCCAAACUGGAACUGAGACACGGUCCAGACUCCUACGGGAGGCAGCAGUAGGGAAUCUUCCGCAAUGGGCGAAAGCCUGACGGAGCAACGCCGCGUGAGUGAUGAAGGUCUUCGGAUCGUAAAACUCUGUUAUUAGGGAAGAACAAAUGUGUAAGUAACUAUGCACGUCUUGACGGUACCUAAUCAGAAAGCCACGGCUAACUACGUGCCAGCAGCCGCCGUAA